Molecule: long non-coding RNA, 831 nt
Organism: Eurytemora carolleeae
Lineage: Eukaryota; Metazoa; Arthropoda; Copepoda; Calanoida; Temoridae
Exons: 3
Source: RefSeq, a predicted model, not a curated record
UCAUAUUACUACCCCUUCCUCAUCCUAUUCCUACUGCCUAACAGUUCAAACUAUCUCAAUAGUGAAUUGUAUUCUCCAAGCUUGUGGAAAACGUUAGACGUGAAACCAUCAAGACCCGAACGAUGGAGAAAUUUCGGGACAAGGAUCGCUUGAUCAUCGAUAAAGGUUCUACAUCACUGUGGAUCUCAGAUCUGCAAGCUACGACACAGAUAACUACGUUAAACGAGAAACCACCUUGACCUGAACGCCUGAUGAUCUGGGAGAUCCCAGAGGAUCUGGGAAACCUUAAAGCUGUAAUCCUCGGCGAAGAAUAACGGUAAAAAAUUAUAAUUCCAAAGGUCCCUGUGAAUACUGGAUCCACUUCAUUACUAAUAAGCCCUAAACCAUCUUUUAUACAGAGAGCAGGUGUGUGCACAAGGACCGUUUUUGGACUGUAAAGGUUGAAACAUUUGAACUGAAACUAACGUAAAAGUACUAAAUAAAAUUCUAAGCUCUUAAAUUAAGAAAACUAACCCCAAGGUUAAAUCCAUAAUGUUAAUGGUAAAAAAAAUAUGUUAAUUUUCAUAAAUCUAAAAUGGUACGCUUGAAAUUCGUUGACUAGGAUAAAAAUUUUUUUUCAUGUAUACUACUGUAACCCUGCCCCUAUACAGAAUUUGAAAUAAAUUGUUGCGAUUAGUAAACCAAGAGGAAAUGAGCCAAAAAACUGAAUUUUCUUUCUCAUCCGGAUUUCUUCCCAAAAAUAAACUGAGAUAAAUUCACUUUUGUAAUCCUAAAACCUACUGACUUUACCAAACAAAAAAUCUUUUUCAAGGUUCUCUUUUUAUACUUAGA